UACGGAGGGGGCUAGCGUUGUUCGGAAUUACUGGGCGUAAAGCGCACGUAGGCGGCUUUGUAAGUUAGAGGUGAAAGCCCGGGGCUCAACUCCGGAAUUGCCUUUAAGACUGCAUCGCUAGAAUUGUGGAGAGGUAAGUGGAAUUCCGAGUGUAGAGGUGAAAUUCGUAGAUAUUCGGAAGAACACCAGUGGCGAAGGCGACUCACUGGACAUGUAUUGACGCUGAGGUGCGAAAGCGUGGGGAGCAAACAGG
This 253-nucleotide ribosomal RNA is filed under the name uncultured bacterium. RNAcentral's name for it is "partial 16S ribosomal RNA". It matches the Rfam family "Bacterial small subunit ribosomal RNA", at positions 524 to 776 of the family's 1533-position model. The record is from RNAcentral.